Long non-coding RNA from Manis pentadactyla (Chinese pangolin), 5197 nucleotides. RefSeq lists it as uncharacterized. The record is from RefSeq and is a predicted model, not a curated record. Lineage: Eukaryota; Metazoa; Chordata; Mammalia; Pholidota; Manidae. The transcript has 2 exons.
GACAACCCAAAGCAUGCCUUCAGUACGCACCAGCGCUUCUGUUUUUAAGCCUGCUGAGAGAAUUAACAUUCAAGAGCUGUGCAUAUUCAGGCUGCUGACUGCAUAUUACACAAUAUUAUCAGACAUUCUCCUACACAGAGCAGCACUGUUGGCCCACCCGGUGCUUCAGGAGGUUCCAACACAAGCCGCCAGAGAAAGGGACCUAUCAAGAUUUGGGUGAUGAGAGAAAUGGUAGCACAUGGUAACAGAGGAAGACAGACUGGAUAUUCUUUUCAGGCUGAAUCAAUAAAAAGCUUUGACAGAGUGAGACAUGAUUUUCCUUUAUUUGAAGUGUUGCAGGUCUACAGAUCUCCAAGCAAUUUGUUCAGUGUAUGGAACAAUGCAAAGAGUAUUCCCACCCUGAACAGCUGGGAAAGGAGAUGUGAAAAUCAAGGAGGGAGCCAGUGACUCAACAUAUAACACCCCGAAGCAAGUCUAUUCUUCCUUUGAAAUGCAAAACUUCAAAAUCUGAAGAUAACUACUCAGAGCUCCCUGAUGUCUUCUCCAAGUCUUCCGGUAGAUCUAUUUCCAUAUAAGGUAACUCCUCUUGGGAUGAGAGUUUAGCAAAUAAAAAUAUAGGCUGCCUAGUUGAAUUUGAGUUUCAGAUUAACAUGGACUACUUUUUUAGUAUAAGUAGUCUCCGUGUAAUAUUUGAGACAUACUUAUAUAAAAAAGUAGUCCAUGUUUAUCUGGGCAUACUGUAUUUUGGCUAGCAACUAAACUGUGAAUGCAAAUGUUUUUAGAAAUGUAAUGCCUAGAACUUGAGAUAGUAUUCCUGUUGAACACUGAAGUAGAACUCAAGUGGGGUGAGAGAGAGUGGUGGGGAAAUGACAAGGGGAAAGAGGGGGGACAUCUGCACCUCUGCACCCCUCCCUAUCAUGCUUCUGUGUGAAGAAGGUAAAGUGCCCUCCGGUGAGGGCCAAAGCCCCCUCCCUGUCUCGGGGCACAAGGUCAGGCCAGGGUUAAAAUAUCCUCUGACCUCUGGGAGCCCCCUCUAGCUAUUCCCUAACCUCUGAUGUGGUGGCCCUUCUUUAUCGUAAUGAAUUCUGCUGUCUCUGUUCAUUGUAGGAGGUAUUUUCAGCUGGAUGAUAGCAUAUUCGCAGAAUACUAGACACACCUCUCUUGAGCUUGCACACCUCUCUUAUCUACUUAACUCUCUUUCAGUUUCCUCUGCUCUUCUGGCACCAGUCUUCUCCUUCCUCCGUGGCAUCCCAGGUCUUCUGAUACACUGGACUUGAUUUUAAGCUCCUCUAGGGCAAGGACUAUGUAUGUUAACAUCCUUAAUGUAACGAUAAUGGUAGAGCUUUUACUGUAAGAGCCUUGCCUCAUUCCGUUCUCAGGUUCUGUCCUGGUCUCUCUCACCACAGUGUCCUCGCCAGUGUAAGUGCUGCUGGCAGUGAGUGCUCAGGAGACACCUUUGGCCUGGCAGAAGUGGUACCAGAAGCAGUUUGCAUCAUCUAAAAACACUUUCUCCAGUAUCUCCCAUUUCAGUCUUCUAGGCCAGAGGUCAGAAAGCGCAGGACCAGGACCAUGCUUAACCUGUUCCAACCAGAUGAGGCCCUGCUUUUGAAGCUCCUCAGGGGGGCCUUCCACAACUUGCCCCAGGGCCUCACCAGUACUGAACUGCGCUCACUCAUCACUACAGCGCUCACUCAUCACUAAACAAAGGCUUCCUCUCCCACCCCUCCCUUUUAACUCUUAAUCCCAUUCUCUAAUUCUAUGACUAACUCUUAAAUUCUUUGUGAUUAGUAAUCCCGUUUAACUUCAGUAGGGGAUUUAGACACCUGGAAACCAGAGACUAUUAUAAUGAAAUUGGUAAGUAGAAUGAAAUGUUGCCCUGGAACUCACUCUUUCCUUGACUGGUCUGCUUGAGGAGGUCCAGGUCAUCUGGAGACUGUGUGUGAAUGGGCUGGUGGAGGUGGCCAAGCUAACACACCAAAUCUAGGGGUAUCUUAGAACAAUCAGCAGUCCCUGGGGUCUUGUACCAUUUUCAUUCUCAACUUUAAAUAAUAGUAAGAUGAUCUUACGGUUUCAGCAGGGAAACCCAGGGCCUCUGGGGGGCACUGUGAUCUCCAAGGUAAGGCCUGGCAGGGCUCACCUCCUUGGGGCUGGAUGUGGAUCAGAGUUGCUGGACUGGGAGGCUGCUUGCCUCAGGCAAGCCCAUAGACCAGUGAAACUGAGAACAAUUGGCUGAAGCAAAAGUCUUACCUGUGUAAGAGGUUACUCACUCUGAAAAUAAUCUUUCACAAUGAAAGCGUCAUCAGAUUCCAGAGUCAUAAAUUAACAAAUUGUGCUGGUCUGUGGUGACUGCUAUAUUUCUUUACUUAGAAAUGUAUCUUAUCCUUUGGUAGUCAGGGCUAUGCAAAGGGUGUGGUGGUUAUGACCAACUGUCUGGAGUUAUUAAUUUUUGCUCAUUUUCUGCUACAAGAACGGCUGUCUUGGGCUGACUCUCAUGAUACAGCUGACUGCCUGCCACCAACAGGCUAUCCACUUUAGCCCUCAUUCAACUUGCCCUGCCUGGACAGUCUUAUUUAUUCUCUCCAUUUCAACUACUAACCACUGUUGUUUCCAAGAUUGAAUAUGCACCACUAAUUUAACAAUACCUGGGGGCAGGGAGGAGAGAAGAAUCCCCAACACAUUCAACAUAUAACAUCUGUUAUAAGCUCAUUCCUACACCUCAUAGCUAAAGACCGCCUGAUCUUUCAAGAUUCAUGUCACAGUUAUCCCCUCCAAGAAGCCUUUUUUGACAGCCUUCCCCAGGACUGACCACUCCCUGUGUCACAACUGUACCUUGCACAUACUUUCACACCUAUUAAGUCUUUAUUCACAGACUGUAAGCAUCUCAUUAGCUGGAAUUACCUUAUUCAUCUCUGUAUUCCCUUAGUCUAGCUCUGUGCCUGGCAUUAAUUCACUCUAAAUAUUCACUGAAGACCUACCAUGUGCCUUGUACCCUACCAGACUGGCACUUGUUUGUUACACAGAAGAGUUCUCAGCAAGCAUCCACUCUGCAGUAACAUGGGAGAUAUAAAAUGAGGAUGUGGCAGUCUCUUAAUCCCUUCCAUUAGAGAUGGGAGCAGUGUAUGCCAUGCUGUAUUAGUCAGCUCAGGCUUCUAUAACAAAUACCGUAGACUGGGUGGGUGUGGGUUAAAUUGUAAUAUUUCCAGAAUAUCUCGCCUGGCUUUAGUAUAUCUGCAUAUUAAUAGGUGUUCAGUGGUGGAAAGAAAUAUGGCUUUAGUGCAUUUGCAUCAUUCCUCAAGAGUGGAGAGAAAUUUAUCUCCAUAUCAAUGGGUAAAUUACUUGGGCAACAGAGGGCUUUAUCUGUACCUGAAGGUGAGAAGGAGGCCCGGUUUUGCUUCUCCCAGAACAGGAAAGAGAGAAGGGCCCAGACUGCAGUUUGUAAGCAAUAAACAGGUUUUAAACUUUAUUUCUCCCUUUGAAUGAUUUCAGUUUUUAGAGGUAUUUUGCCCCAGGAUUUCCUCUCCCCAGACUAACACCUGGCAUAGUUGGCAGGGUUCCUCUGAACCCGAAAUCUGUUAUAAUGGGUGUGACCUUUGGGAGGGCCACCCCAAGAAAUGAUGGGGAGAAGUGGCGCUUGCGCUAAGAGACAUGUGUCUACAUUCGUGUGGUCGUAGUGGCACCACCACCGCUGCUGGCAGCGGCGACUCCGGCCCAUGGCCUGAGCCUAAGGCUACUGCUUCUGCCACUGCUGCUGCUCCUGCUGCGGGCUGGAGCCUGGCCACAACCAUGGAAAGGAGCAGAGGUCCGGGUCACCUUGAUAGAGAAGCAACUGGCUGCUGUGUACCACACCUUGCUGGCUACGGAACCCAUUGCCGGAACAGCUCCCACCAAGGUAAUAACCACCUAUCCUAUCGCUGGGUGGGUGAGAGACGGGACUCAAAGGCCACGGAGUGGUGUGGCACAGACACCUACUGUAUAUCAUGUGACUGGCCAUUUGCCUUUGGCAUCCCCAGGGAAUGAUGAAGCAGACGCAUUGGCCCAGGUGUGCUGGCUAGAAGGAAAGCCUGCCUCUGAUGUGGCCCAAUGGCUACAUCGACAUUUGUUGCAAGCGGGGCAAAAGACAAUGUGGGCUGUUGCCCAUUGGUGGGGCUUGCCACUGACCUUUGAAGAAGUCAGCUGAGCCUGGAAGGAGUACCCUGAACACUGUGCGGAUGAGCCAACCACUGAGAGGGGCCUAGAGCAUUUUUUUGCAGCCUAUGGCCAGUCACCGGUGAUUGAGACCGAUCAAGGCACCCACUUUACUGGACAUAUGUUGCAAGGAUGGGUGCAGCCAUUAGGAAUAAAAUGGACGUGGCCCUGGACAUUUCAGCACAUGGACUGGCGAUGGCUGGCUCUUCUGGCACCUUGGGGAAAAGGCCUGGAAGCUGGCCUCCCGUGUAUUACUGAAGUAACAGCAAAGUGGCCCCCCACAAUCAUGGUUAUUUGCUUCUACAGUCCUUGUGUCCUGGAUGUGCCCCCUGGCUGCAGCUGCCGCGUGAUGGCUGGAAUAGACGAGUUUUGGACUUAUUUGGCAUGGGACUUUGAACCUAGCUGAAUCCUCUGGCUUGAGAAUUAUGAUUAUAUUGCUGUUGUCAAGAAAAAAAUGCUUAAAGAGAGGCUUGACCUUGUCUAAUGUUUGGUAAAAGUUUUGUGAGCAAUCUAGCAUGGUUGUUAGGAAUGAGUAAACAAGUAUAGAAACAUGUUUUGUGCUUAGUGAGAGAUUGUGCUGUAAAGUACAUUUACUUAAUCUGCAUAGGCUGAAUCCUCUGGCUUGAGGAUUAUCAUUAUUUUAUUGUUGUUGCUAUUGUAUGUCAUUAAUUUGGUCGGAAGAAGGGGAACGAGUAAAUUGAGAGGCAAGAUUUCUGGAGGGGUGGCUUGUGGGUAAAAUUAUAAUAUUUCCGGAAUAUCUUGCCUGGCUUUAGUACAUCUGCAUAUCAAUAGGCAUUCAGUGGUGGAAAGAAGUAUGGCUUUAGUGCAUUUGCAUCAUUCCUCAGAGGUGGAGAGAAGUUCAUCUCUAUAUCAAUGGGUAAUUACCUGGGCAACCGAGGGCUUAUCCAUACUUGAGAGGUGAGGGGGAGGGCCAGUUUUGCUUCUACCAGAGCAGCAAAGAGAGAAGGGCCCAGAGUACAGUUUGGAAGCAAUAAACAAGUUUUCAACUUUA